GCAAACUUGGUCAUUUAGAGGAAGUAAAAGUCGUAACAAGGUUUCCGUAGGUGAACCUGCGGAAGGAUCAUUACCGAGUAUUGGGCGCAAGCCCGUACCCACACCCUGUGUCGACCAUCUGUGUUGCUUCGGCGGGCCGUCCAGGUCCCUGGCCCCCGGCUUCGGCUGGGGUGCGCCCGCCGGAGGACCUAUCUAAACGCAUGAUAAACGGGUCUGUCCGAGGAUACAUAAAUCAGUCAAAACUUUCAACAACGGAUCUCUUGGUUCGGGCAUCGAUGAAGAACGCAGC
This 289-nucleotide unclassified non-coding RNA is filed under the name uncultured fungus. RNAcentral's name for it is "partial contains small subunit ribosomal RNA, internal transcribed spacer 1, and 5.8S ribosomal RNA". The stretch from base 1 to 73 matches the Rfam family "Eukaryotic small subunit ribosomal RNA", at positions 1759 to 1831 of the family's 1831-position model. The record is from RNAcentral. Lineage: Eukaryota; Fungi.